ACAUUAUUUCACUUAUUUUUGUUGAACGGUUUAGAUUGAAGGGAAUUAAUUUUAUUGAACGGUUUAGAUUCAAUCAGAUCAUAUAAAGUUUAGAAGAUUGUUAAGACCAAAUUACCCUUAAUGAUUUUGAAUACCACAGAACAAAAUCCAAAAUUAAAAUCAAAAUUGAGGCCAAAUUAGACAAAAUUUCAAUUUGUACUUCCCUUUUAAUAAUAAGGGGAUAAUUGACUCUCUUAACAACAAAAAA
This 247-nucleotide small RNA is filed under the name Arabidopsis thaliana (thale cress). RNAcentral's name for it is "ATSL016950". The record is from RNAcentral. Lineage: Eukaryota; Viridiplantae; Streptophyta; Magnoliopsida; Brassicales; Brassicaceae.